Molecule: ribosomal RNA, 440 nt
Filed under: uncultured bacterium
Lineage: Bacteria
Description: partial 16S ribosomal RNA
Rfam family: Bacterial small subunit ribosomal RNA
Source: RNAcentral
ACUACGGGUGGCAGCAGUGGGGAAUAUUGCACAAUGGGGGAAACCCUGAUGCAGCGACGCCGCGUGAAGGAAGAAGGAUUUCGGUAUGUAAACUUCUAUCAGCAGGGAAGAAAAUGACGGUACCUGACUAAGAAGCCACGGCUAACUACGUGCCAGCAGCCGCGGUCAUACGGAGGGGGCAAGCGUUAUACGGAUUUACUGGGUGAAAAGGGAGCGGAGGCGGCGAUGCAAGUAAGAUGUGAACGCCCCGGGCUCAACCCCGGGACUGCUUUUGAAACUGUAUGGCUAGAUUGCAGGAGAGGCAAGUGGAAUUCCUAGUGUAGCGGUGAAAUGCGUAGAGAUUAGGAGGAACACCAGUGGCGAAGGCGGCUUGCUGGACUGUAAAUGACGCUGAGGCUCGAAAGCGUGGGGAGCAAACAGGAUUAGAUACCCGGGUAGUC